This 560-nucleotide ribosomal RNA is filed under the name Naganishia vishniacii. RNAcentral's name for it is "partial large subunit ribosomal RNA". It matches the Rfam family "Eukaryotic large subunit ribosomal RNA", at positions 104 to 655 of the family's 3401-position model. The record is from RNAcentral. Lineage: Eukaryota; Fungi; Basidiomycota; Tremellomycetes; Filobasidiales; Filobasidiaceae.
AGAGCUCAAAUUUGAAAUCUGGCGGCAUCCUGUCGUCCGAGUUGUAAUCUAUAGAAGUGUUUUCCGCGCCGGACCAUGUACAAGUCCCUUGGAACAGGGCGUCAUAGAGGGUGAGAAUCCCGUCCUUGACAUGAUCUCCGGUUGCUAUGUGAUACACUUUCAACGAGUCGAGUUGUUUGGGAAUGCAGCUCAAAAAGGGUGGUGAAUUCCAUCUAAAGCUAAAUAUUGGCGAGAGACCGAUAGCGAACAAGUACCGUGAGGGAAAGAUGAAAAGCACUUUGGAAAGAGAGUUAAACAGUACGUGAAAUUGUUGAAAGGGAAACGAUUGAAGUCAGUCAUGCUCUUUGGGUUAAGCCUUUCGGGGUGUAUUCCAUUGAGUGGGGUCAACAUCAGUUUUGACCGCUGGAAAAAGGCACGAGGAAGGUAGCACUCUCGGGUGAACUUAUAGCCUCGCGUCAUAUACAGUGGUUGGGACUGAGGAACGCAGCAUGCCUUAUGGCCGGGAUUCGUCCACGUACAUGCUUAGGAUGUUGACAUAAUGGCUUUAAACGACCCGUCUU